GUCCCGGUAGCUCAAUUGGCAGAGUUGCGGUUUCCAACACCGACGGUUGGGGGUUCGAUUCCCUCCUGGGAUG
RNAcentral lists this transfer RNA (73 nucleotides) under Massilia sp. CF038. It matches the Rfam family "tRNA". From Rfam's summary of the family: Transfer RNA (tRNA) molecules are approximately 80 nucleotides in length. Their secondary structure includes four short double-helical elements and three loops (D, anti-codon, and T loops). The record is from Rfam by way of RNAcentral. Lineage: Bacteria; Pseudomonadati; Pseudomonadota; Betaproteobacteria; Burkholderiales; Oxalobacteraceae.